This is a long non-coding RNA of Scleropages formosus (Asian bonytongue), 865 nucleotides long. RefSeq lists it as uncharacterized. NCBI's taxonomy places the organism in Eukaryota, Metazoa, Chordata, Actinopteri, Osteoglossiformes, Osteoglossidae. The record is from RefSeq and is a predicted model, not a curated record. The transcript is spliced from 3 exons.
AGGGGCCGUCUCUCGGGCCACGUCGCUGAACACGGCUCUUCCUAACUCACGCUGCGAUUGGAGGCCCGGCACCGCUGCCAGUGAAAUAAAGACCUUUGUUUGUCCAUGCCAGGUGCAUAAAGCCAGCUUCCACAACAAUGCUCAGAGGGCCUCUCGGAGCCAGAUGAAGGGAGAAGAGUCUCUUUGUGUGACUUGGGGGCGUGGGCUGGUGGCGGGGGGUGCUCGAUCCCUGGGCCGCACCGCAACCUCCCACCCAGCACACGCGCACACAGCAUCAGACUGCGUGAGACGGCGCCGCACGCGCACGGGACGACUUUGCGAGCGAUCGGCACGUUCACCUGCGCCGUUCCCGCACGCGGUCGCUCGUCAGACGCGACUAUUAUUACUUCGCAAAUGAGCGGGUACGGGUGCCCGGGCCCCGUUCGCAGUACUACCCCUUGGGCAGAGUGCAUUCUACAGAGCUGGCCUUGAAUUUCAGAGGAUGGAGAGAGAAGCACAGAAGAGGCAAAGUGUCUCCAUGUCCCUGCAGAGCCCACUAAGUAGACAGACCAGUAUGCACAGUGAAGCUAACAGAGAAACUGGCCCUCAUUCAGGGAAGGGGAGGAUAUGGUUUCCAGCCAAUCAGACUGUCUGUAUUCACAUUCCUGUUAGUUUGAGCACAAAGGGCCCGUGGUUUAUUAUUAGUCAGAAUUAUAACAACUAACAAGCUGUUUGCCUGAAUUAUGUUGCAACACAAUUACACUGGAUCACUUUGUACAGUGCAACAGGUCGGCAUCUACCAACAUGUGAGAAAUAAAUGUAAUUAACAAGGGUGAGAACAUUUGUUAUUUGCUUUGAUAAAAUGUCAAAUCAUACAUUUCUGUGG